GGGGGGUGAUGGCGUGCCUAUUGAAGAAUGAGCCUGCGAGUCGCCGCCGCGUCGCGAGGUUAACCCGCGUGGGGGAGCCGUAGCGACAGCGAGUCCGAAAGUAUGGGGCGCCCAGUGGCGCGGCGCGGACCCGAAGCGGGGUGAUCUACCCAUGGCCAGGUUGAAGCACGUGUAAGAGCGUGUGGAGGACCGCACCCGCCUCAGUUGAAAAUGGGGGGGAUGAGCUGUGGGUAGGGGUGAAAGGCCAAUCAAACCCCGUGAUAGCUGGUUCUCCCCGAAAUGCAUUUGGGUGCAGCGUCCCGCGCUCCCCGGCGGAGGUAGAGCUACCGGUUGGCUGAUGGGCCCCACAGGGUUACUGGCGUCAGCCGAACUCCGAAUGCCGUCGGGCGGUGAGCGGGGCAGUGAGACCGCGGGGGAUAAGCUUCGCGGUCGAGAGGGGAACAGCCCGGAUCGCCGGCUAAGGCCCCUAAGCGCGCGCUAAGUGGGAAAGGAUGUGCGGUCGCGGUGACAACCAGGAGGUUGGCUUAGAAGCAGCCAUCCUUGAAAGAGUGCGUAAUAGCUCACUGGUCAAGUGGUCGUGCGCCGACAAUUGAGCGGGGCUCAAGCGCGCCGCCGAAGCCGCGGACCCGCCGCGAUCGGCCCCGCCCCCCCUGGGGGGUGGUGGGGCGCGGCGGGUGGUAGGGGAGCGUCCCGCGCCGGGGGAAGCCGCCGGGUGACCGGGGGUGGACGGCGCGGGAGUGAGAAUGCAGGCAUGAGUAGCGAUACUGGGGUGAGAAGCCCCAGCGCCGCGUGACCAAGGGUUCCAGGGCCAGGCUAGUCCGCCCUGGGUGAGUCGGGACCUAAGGCGAGGCCGACGGGCGUAGUCGAUGGAUGACGGGUUGAUAUUCCCGUACCGGACCGGAUACCGACCGUGCCGACGCGCGGGCGCUGACCCACGCCCCGCGCCGCCCGAUAAGCGCCCCCCUCAACCGGUCUUCGGGCCGGAGGGGGGCGGGGCGGCGGGGGUCUGGGGACCCUCCGCGCAGGUAGGCAAGCGUAUUAACAGGGGUGACGCGCAGUGGUGGCCCCGCGGGCCUGAUGGCUCGGCCCGUCCAAGCGCGCGGCCCGCCGCCCAGGCAAAUCCGGGCGGCUGCCUUAGAUGGCGGGGGUGAGGCGCGACGGUGACCCGGCCCGAUGGGGCCGGGGAAGCAGGGUGAUCCUGAGGCGCCUAGAAAAGCCUCGACGCGAGGGGCCGGUCCGCCCGUACCCCAAACCGACACAGGUGGUCGGGCAGAGCAUGCCCAGGCGCACGAGCGAACCGUGGUGAAGGAACUCGGCAAAACGCCCCCGUAACUUCGGGAGAAGGGGGGCCCGGACCCUGAAACGGCUGGCCCGUUAGGGGCGAGGGCCGCAGAGGCCAGGGGGGAGCGACUGUUUACUAAAAACACAGGUCCGUGCGAAGCCGUAAGGCGAUGUAUACGGACUGACGCCUGCCCGGUGCUGGAAGGUUAAGAGGAACCAUCAACCCUCGGGUGAAGUGGUGAAUUUAAGCCCCAGUAAACGGCGGUGGUAACUAUAACCAUCCUAAGGUAGCGAAAUUCCUUGUCGGGUAAGUUCCGACCUGCACGAAUGGCGUAACGACUCCCCCGCUGUCUCCACCACGGGCUCGGCGAAAUUGCACUACGAGUAAAGAUGCUCGUUACGCGCAGAAGGACGGAAAGACCCCGGGACCUUCACUGCAGCUUGGUAUUGGCGCCCGGUUCGGCUCGUGCAGGAUAGGUGGGAGACCGCGAAACCGCCGCGUCAGCGGCGGCGGAGUCAUCGUUGAGAUACCACUCCGGCCGUGUCGUGCGCCUGAACCUCGGCCCGUGACCCGGGUCAGGGACAGUGCCUGGCGGGUAGUUCAACUGGGGCGGUUGCCUCCCAAAGAGUAACGGAGGCGCUCAAAGGUUCCCUCAGCCUGGUCGGCAACCAGGUGUCGAGUGCAAGUGCACAAGGGGGCUCGACUGCGAGACCGACGGGUCGGGCAGGUGCGAAAGCAGGAACUAGUGAUCCGGCG
Molecule: ribosomal RNA, 2038 nt
Filed under: human oral metagenome
Description: bacterial LSU rRNA
Rfam family: Bacterial large subunit ribosomal RNA
Source: RNAcentral